AAGCUCGUAGUUGAAUUUCGGGAUCAAUAUGUUGGUCGUGCCAUUGGUACGCACUGGCAUUAUUGGUUUCUACCUUCUGAAGAACCUCGAUGUCAUUAAUUUGGUGUCUUGGGGAAUCAGGACUGUUACUUUGAAAAAAUUAGAGUGUUUAAAGCAAGCUCGCGCUUGAAUACAUUAGCAUGGAAUAAUGAAAUAGGACGUUUGGUUCUAUUUUGUUUGGUUUCUUAGGAUUGACGUAAUGAUUAAUAGGGAUAGUUGGG
RNAcentral lists this ribosomal RNA (260 nucleotides) under uncultured Glomus. Its description in RNAcentral is "partial 18S ribosomal RNA". It matches the Rfam family "Eukaryotic small subunit ribosomal RNA", at positions 624 to 886 of the family's 1831-position model. The record is from RNAcentral. Lineage: Eukaryota; Fungi; Glomeromycota; Glomeromycetes; Glomerales; Glomeraceae.